RNAcentral lists this ribosomal RNA (495 nucleotides) under uncultured bacterium. Its description in RNAcentral is "partial 16S ribosomal RNA". It matches the Rfam family "Bacterial small subunit ribosomal RNA", at positions 30 to 523 of the family's 1533-position model. The record is from RNAcentral.
AUUGAACGCUGGCGGAAUGCUUUACACAUGCAAGUCGAACGGUAGAGGGGGCAACCCCUCGAGAGCGGCGAACGGGUGAGUAUGUAUCGGAACGUGCCCAGUCGUGGGGGAUAACGUAGUGAAAAUUACGCUAAUACCGCAUACGAUCUAUGGAUGAAAGCGGGGGAUCGCAAGACCUCGCGCGAUUGGAGCGGCCGAUAUCAGAUUAGGUAGUUGGUGGGGUAAAGGCCCACCAAGCCAACGAUCUGUAGCUGGUCUGAGAGGACGACCAGCCACACUGGAACUGAGACACGGUCCAGACUCCUACGGGAGGCAGCAGUGGGGAAUUUUGGACAAUGGGCGAAAGCCUGAUCCAGCCAUUCCGCGUGCAGGAUGAAGGCCCUCGGGUUGUAAACUGCUUUUGUACAGAACGAAAAGGUUUCUACUAAUACUAGGAGCUCAUGACGGUACUGUAAGAAUAAGCACCGGCUAACUACGUGCCAGCCGCCGCAGUAA